GCAUGGUAAUGGAUUUAUGGUAGGCCCUUCUCUGUGGGCCUCUCAUAGUGUACCCAUGCCAGAGUAAACGGCAGCCUCGAACCAUUGCCCAGCUUCCCUGUGUGUGGACUGUGAGCACUGAUGCAGGUUGCACAAUG
Small nucleolar RNA from Oryctolagus cuniculus (rabbit), 137 nucleotides. Ensembl annotates it as small nucleolar RNA, H/ACA box 80E. Its record names the gene SNORA80E. The record is from Ensembl. Lineage: Eukaryota; Metazoa; Chordata; Mammalia; Lagomorpha; Leporidae.